AUCUCCCUGCCUUGCAAGUGAUGGCCGGCAGUGUUUUGAGCCAACACUUAUUUGAAUGGGAACCGGCCCUGAAGACGGUGUGCAUGCCCUCUUGAGAGGGAAGCCUGAAGUCUUUAUCACGGUACCCACCUGGGUUAUCAGGUUCAAAUAGUUGCGGCCACACGGCAAGGCGGGGGGGUU
RNAcentral lists this non-coding RNA (180 nucleotides) under Nitrospirae bacterium CG2_30_53_67. RNAcentral describes it as "6S RNA". It matches the Rfam family "6S / SsrS RNA". Rfam says of the family: E. coli 6S RNA was the first non coding RNA to be sequenced, but its function was unknown until recently. It consists of 184 nucleotides that fold into an extended hairpin structure with a large single-stranded internal bulge. RNAcentral also lists the same sequence under 5 other names. Lineage: Bacteria; Pseudomonadati; Nitrospirota. The record is from RNAcentral.